Molecule: regulatory RNA element, 122 nt
Organism: Wenyingzhuangia fucanilytica
Lineage: Bacteria; Pseudomonadati; Bacteroidota; Flavobacteriia; Flavobacteriales; Flavobacteriaceae
Rfam family: Bacteroidete tryptophan peptide leader RNA
Source: Rfam
UGAAUGUUAAAUUUGUGCUAAUGAAAAUGAUUACAAAAAAUACUUGGUGGUGGUACACUCUUAAUUAAUUAAGCGUGAGUAUCAAUGUGUAUUUUAUUAAAAUAAAUAUAUAAAGGCUUAUC